This is a non-coding RNA of Pelobates cultripes (western spadefoot toad), 494 nucleotides long. The record is from the annotation of a GenBank genome assembly. Lineage: Eukaryota; Metazoa; Chordata; Amphibia; Anura; Pelobatidae.
CCAAAGAAUUGGAAGGCCAGCCUGGCAUGAAUGCAUGUAAGGCUGCCUGCCAAUCAUGUAAGCUGGCCAACUAAGGGCAUACUACGCAGACAUCACCCUGAGCUUGGCAUAAAUGUGUCUAAUUAUGUGCUCGGUCCAAGCUUUCUAAGGACUGCUCCCUAGCACUCACAUGUCCACUUGUCUCCUUACCUUCUUACUAACAAGCGGAAACUUCUGGUAUAUAGUCUGGGACAGAGAUAACAUGUAUGUAUUGAGUGUAGAAAAAAGGAGACAUGCCACAAUGUUAGAGACCAAAGUCAGCAUUACCUUAACUAACUUGAAAAUGUAAGGAAGGCUAGAUAGGAUGUGGUGGUAGGGGACAAAGCCACCACCUCACCACACUCCCGAGGCCUGGGCCUCACAUGAGGAAUGACUAACCAGCGCCUUGGACAGUAUCUGGUCUCAAUUCUGGAUGCAGAUCCACCAACGGCCACAACUAUCCUCGACUAUUGUUG